UACGAAGGGGGCUAGCGUUGCCCGGAAUCACUGGGCGUAAAGGGUGCGUAGGCGGGUCUUUAAGUCAGGGGUGAAAUCCUGGAGCUCAACUCCAGAACUGCCUUUGAUACUGAGGAUCUUGAGUUCGGGAGAGGUGAGUGGAACUGCGAGUGUAGAGGUGAAAAUUCGUAGAUAUUCGCAAGAACACCAGUGGCGAAGGCGGCUCACUGGCCCGAUACUGACGCUGAGGCACGAAAGCGUGGGGAGCAAACAGGG
This 255-nucleotide ribosomal RNA is filed under the name uncultured bacterium. RNAcentral's name for it is "partial 16S ribosomal RNA". It matches the Rfam family "Bacterial small subunit ribosomal RNA", at positions 524 to 777 of the family's 1533-position model. The record is from RNAcentral.